This 291-nucleotide ribosomal RNA is filed under the name uncultured Nitrospira sp. RNAcentral describes it as "partial 16S ribosomal RNA". It matches the Rfam family "Bacterial small subunit ribosomal RNA", at positions 199 to 492 of the family's 1533-position model. Lineage: Bacteria; Pseudomonadati; Nitrospirota; Nitrospiria; Nitrospirales; Nitrospiraceae. The record is from RNAcentral.
CGAUACCGUGGGUAUCGCGCUCUUGGAUGGGCUCAUGUCCUAUCAGCUUGUUGGUGAGGUAAUGGGCUCACCAAGGUUCGACGGGUAGCUGGUNUGAGAGGNCGAUCAGCCNCACUGGCACUGCGACACGGGCCAGACUCCUACGGGAGGCAGCAGUAAGGAAUAUUGCGCAAUGGGCGACAGCCUGACGCAGCGACGCCGCGUGGGGGAUGAAGGUCUUCGGAUUGUAAACCCCUUUCGGCAGGGAAGAUGGAACGGGUAACCGUUCGGACGGUACCUGCAGAAGCAGCC